UUCCUAUAUGAACACUGUUGC
RNAcentral lists this microRNA (21 nucleotides) under Oryza sativa (Asian cultivated rice). RNAcentral's name for it is "osa-miR2876-3p". Lineage: Eukaryota; Viridiplantae; Streptophyta; Magnoliopsida; Poales; Poaceae. The record is from miRBase by way of RNAcentral.